AGAACUGAUAAUUUGAGUGAGUGGAAUGAAGGAGUAACGUCCUGAAACGCUCCCCCUGAUACUCCGAUUGGCGUUAACAGUGAUGUUAUGGUCAAAAGCUCGGUGAAGUCGGCAGAGAGCAACCCAAACAGGUAAAGCUGUGGAAAGUGUUCCAGAGGUGGGAUAUGUUGCCUAUAUGCCGGGGGUCUAUAAA
RNAcentral lists this non-coding RNA (193 nucleotides) under bovine gut metagenome. The record is from RNAcentral.